UAUACCCUUGACAUGUUGACAUAUCUGGUGCUCCAACAAGUUUGCAUUUCAAUGAAAGAGGCUGAUUGCUGAUACGGCAAGGUUCCCUGUGAAGUGACUCCCUUUGGUUCAACUGCAAGGUGCUGUCUCAUCAGACUUGAUCAGGAGUUAUUCACCAAUCACAUCUAGCAAGUUCCUUCUGAUGACUCAACUAUCAUGUCAGGGACGUCUGUUUUGACGAUGCUGUGCUGAGAGUUGAAGUAGACCAUGGACAGAGGCCGGCGCUCAGUGGGGAUGCAGCAUGAAGCUGUG
This is a long non-coding RNA of Poeciliopsis prolifica (blackstripe livebearer), 291 nucleotides long. RefSeq lists it as uncharacterized. The transcript has 3 exons. NCBI's taxonomy places the organism in Eukaryota, Metazoa, Chordata, Actinopteri, Cyprinodontiformes, Poeciliidae. The record is from RefSeq and is a predicted model, not a curated record.